Molecule: long non-coding RNA, 39571 nt
Filed under: Prunus persica (peach)
Lineage: Eukaryota; Viridiplantae; Streptophyta; Magnoliopsida; Rosales; Rosaceae
Description: long non-coding RNA (PPER_LNC008349)
Source: RNAcentral
AUCCUGCAGCCUUAACCGCGCUAUAACCACUUGCAGGCAUAUAAUAUCACCACUACCAUCAAUUAUCACAAAGCAGGAAGUUGCUUCGCAAAUAUGAUGUUAAGCAAGUGGCUUAGUAUUAUAUGAGUGCAUAGAAAUAUUAAAAUUACAAUUAUUUAAUUGAGUGGUUAAAUGGUUUUAUAUUCAAGCGAAUUUUUGUAGGGACAAUCUAUGAAGCAAUAUCUAAAAGAUAAACGGUUCAGAUAAUUAAAAUGCAAUGCAGAGUAAGUUCUAUAAGAGUGUCAUUCAAUAUUGAAGCUCUUAGUAUAAUUUUCCAUAUAUAAAAGUAGAAGGUCUUAAAAGUGAAACCUCAAAAUCCCCAAAAUAACCUUGGUUAAUGAGAAUAUUAAAACAGAAAAUAUUUUAUUACAUAAUGUUAAAUUAGUACAUUCACAACUUAUUUAAAUGAAACUAGCCUCUUCAUACGCACUUCCUCGCCUGCGAUAGGUUUUUUUUUUAAAUUUAAAUUUAAAUUUAUUUUAGAAUUAAAAAAGAUAAUGGGUAGUUAUAUUCCAUAAAAAUAUGAUCAAUUAUCUGAUUUUUCUUUUAGAAUUAAAAAAGAAUAUGGUCACCAUCUUGAUUCUCCAUAACUCGUAACUCUCACCGGAGAAGAUCAGAGUUCUUACUUUUGAACUUCCAAAUCCAGCCAUCUCCAAUCUCAGAUAAGCCAAAAACCAAGUUGUUUUAGGGUAUGAUCAAUCUCCAGCAACCUUAACCGAACCUUGAUUGAGCUCCGAUGUAGCCCGAUUUCACAGUAUUAAGAACGCUCAGCCUUAAUUGAUCGAACCUGGCUCUGAGGCCAUGUUAGUGUUUUGUAUUUUAUCUGAGUUACGGAAUAUUGAAGAGAAAAGAAUGAAAGAAUGAAGAAAACAGACUGAUGAAUGUUCUUUUACUCUCUAGCUGAAAUUGCAAAGAGGAAUAUGUUUCUCAUAUCAGAAUGAGCACACAAAACAUGUACUUCAUAAUCGUUAGCCUUAGUUGGAUCCACACACAUCAUAUCGAAUCUCAGCCACACAUCUAGCUACAUUCUAGGAUCACUACACGUGGCUAUUUCAGCCUUACAUUUUGGAGCCUCACAUCUAGAGGUGUCAAAUUGGCCGUGCCGGGCCGUCCGAUCCCAUUUAAACUCGUACUUUUAACGUUUUUGUGUCAGGUUGGGCCGGCCCAUUUAAUCUAUUGAGCCGUGCCGUGCCGGCCCAUUUAAUAAAAUCAUUGAUCCCGGCCGGCCCAAAGCCCAUGUCCAUAUCGAAACGGGCCGGGCCAGGCUCGUGCCGUGCUCGUGCCAUAUUUGGGCCUAAGAACCAAUCCAUUUAAUUUGAAUUUUUUUCAUUUGAUUUUUUUUUUCCACUAGAUAAUUCAAAUUAUAAACUUUAAAAAUAUAAUUAGAGGCAAGAAAUGAUGAACUAUUUGAAAAUAUUAAUCAACCAAACAUCCAAACAAUAUGAAAUGGCGGAGGGCAAAAAGUGUCUAACUCCACAAAGUCCACUUCAAUUUUUCAUCUUUAAACAACUUAUUAUUUUAUAUGUGAAAAAAUGUCUUACUUUGAUUAUAAGAGAAAUGUAUACGUAAUAUGUACUGAUUAGAUAUCAAGUCCAAUAUUGUUUAAUUAAUUUAUAGUUGAUAUGUUUAAUUAAUUAAAGAUUCAAGUAAUUUUCCUAAAAUGAUAAUUUCCUAGUUGAUAUGUUUAAUUAAUUCCAUAGUUGAUAUGUCACACGUGGUCUUACGGUUAUACUUAUAUUUAGGGAUAUUUUGACUAAUUUGCUCAACUCGGACCUUUGUCUUAUAAAAUUAUUUAUUUGGUUUUUCUGUGGAAACUCCUUUGGGGUUCGUUUUCUUCUCCAGCUGCUCUAUUCAACUUGUUUUCCUAUAUAUAUAGUCCUCCAAUAGGAAGUUUCUUUGUAUUAGGGAACGUGUUACUUUUUUUCGUUUUUCUUUUUUUCGUUUUUUUAAAUGGUAGUUGUAUCUACAAAGAAUUAUUUAUUUAAUUACAUUUUGGUAAACCGGAUGUGAGAGGCCGGAAACCCCGUUAUCUCUGCAACUAGCCAUCAAGAGUUAUCAGAAUUGACUCAUUUGACUACUUCCAGUUCUAGCAAUGAAAUUUCUGGGAGGAAGGGCUUGCGUAGUUUCCUGUUCACAUGUUUAUCUCUGCUGAACUGAAUGUUAUAUAUUAGCUAGCUAGCGUCAUACUGAGGUGCAUCGAGGCUUCAUCCUUUUGACAACUUGCAGGGUUUUGCAGGUUUUUUUAUAUAGAAAAUUCGGCAUAAGUUCAAUUCUUAUGACAGAAUUUGGGUGCAAUCCACAUAUUUGUUGUUAGUAAUUCAAGUCCUUUGACUUUUGUCCCAUGUAGAAUUACUUACCUUUUUUUAAUUUUCAAGGUUUAUAUUUUGUUUUCUUAAUUUUUUUAAUUUAUGUUGUGCUUUCAAUUUUGCCCCUAAGAGCAACUCCACCCCUUAGGGCAAAGUCUAAGGCAAGGGCAAGCAAGGGCUGACACUAUUCACGUGAAUAGUGUCAGCCUUGCCAUUUGUGGUUCCACCCACAAGGGCAAAGUUUAGGGCAAGUCUAGGGCAAUUACUAUUCAUUGUACUUUAUUUCCUAUUUUUUUAAUACUUUAAAUCAUUAAUUUUGAUAAUCUUUUGUAAUUAAAUUUUCGGAUAAGAUUUUCGGAUGUGAAUCUCGGUUGCCACGUGUCUUAUUCCAGAUAAAAUUUUCGGAUAUUCAUUAAUAAAAAUUAUAAUCUCAUAUUUCCGAUAAAAUUUUCACCCUCUAAAAUUGUGCCGCGUGUCCCAUGUCAGAUAAGAUUUUCAGAUAAUUUUAAAAAAUUAUAAUGUCAUAUUUCAGAUAAGAUUUUCACCCUCUAAAAUUGUGCCACGUGUCCCAUGUCUGAUAAGAUUUUCAGAUAUUUUUUUACAAAUAGUGAUCUCAGAUUUCAGAUAAGAUUUUCACCCUCUAAAAUUGUGCCACGUGUCAUCUCUAUCUUCUGAAUCCCUCUAUAUAACUACACCAUCAACACCACUCCUCUCACACAAUCUCUGAUAUAUUCCUUCAUUUCUCAUAUUUUACAAUUUCCCAUUAUACUCUCAAUGUCAAACUUCAGGAGGGUGUUGGAGAGGCAACAGAAAGAAUGGGAAGAAAUCCGGCGUAGACGUGAGGAAGAAGAUCGGGACGCCGAUGAAGAAGAGGAAGAAAUGCUUGAAGUAGCGGCGGUGUGUAUGAUGAAUCAAUCAAGCCAACACCAUCGUCGUCGUGCCCCGAAUGUGGACAAACGCAGAGAGUCUCGGGGUAAGAAUCUCUUGGAGGAUUACUUUAUCCCAAAUUCGUUAUAUCCUGCUCAUAAGUUUCGAGAGAGAUAUAGAAUACAGCCACAUUUGUUCCAAAAAAUCAUGCAUGAUAUUUGUAAUUACGACACAUACUUCAUUCAAAAGCAUGAUGCUGUUGGAGUUUUGGGUCUUAUCCCGGAGCAAAAACUUACAGCUGCUUUGCGGAUGCUUGCUUAUGGGGCAUCUGCAGAGCAGGUGGAUGAGAUUGCAAGGAUGGGAAAAUCUACUAUCCUAGAGUGCUUGGUGAGAUUCUGUGAUGCAGUGGAAAAUUUGUACACGAGGGAGUACCUUCGCAAACCCACUCCGAGGGACCUGCAAAGGCUUCUACAAAAAGGCGAGGCUCGAGGUUUCCCAGGAAUGAUCGGAAGCAUUGAUUGCAUGCAUUGGCAGUGGAAGAAUUGUCCUACUGCGUGGCAAGGAGAGUAUGGGAAUCGGAAGGGCCAAAAAAGUAUCAUUUUGGAGGCCGUAACUUCAUUCGACACUUGGGUUUGGCAUGCCUUUUUUGGGGUUGCCGGAUCUCAGAAUGACCUCAAUGUCCUUGGUCAAUCCCCGGUGUUCGAUGAGGUAUUGCGAGGUCAUUCCCCUCAGGUCACAUACCAAAUCAACAAUACCGUAUACUCUGGGGCCUACUACCUUGCCGACGGAAUUUAUCCUAGGUGGACGACAUUCGUGAAAACAAUUCCGAAUCCCCAAUCCGAGAAGGAAAGAAGCUUUGCUUCCUUUCAAGAAGGUUACAGGAAAGACGUGGAAAGGUGUUUCGGUAUCUUGCAAGCUCGUUGGGCAAUUAUCAGGGGUGCUGCUCGGAUGCUAGACGAGGAGGUGCUGAGGAGUAUUAUGAUGACUUGCAUCAUCCUCCACAACAUGAUUGUGGAGGAUGAGUAUGACUACGAUGCUCCAGAGGUGUUUGAACCCGAUCCUAUGAACACGGCGUUGACAAGAAUAUAUGAAAGGCCGAUAGGACCAAAUGGACUACCAUUGGAGCCCGAACCGUUACUUCAGGAUGGUCGAUUCAACAACCCCAUGAUUGAUCGUUAUCAAGAAAUGCAAUCUUCAUAUGUUCACGAAAGACGUCAAGUUGACUUGAUCGAGCACUUGUGGCAGAUGAAAGGCAAUCACAAUGGAUGAAGGCUAGAUUUGUGCUUUGUUUGGAUUUAUACUUUUUUUUAAAUUAUGCUUUGUUUUUGUGUGUUGUGUUUUGUGGAAUUAUUGCGAGGUCUUUUUUAUUAUUAUGCUUUUAUGUAUGGUUUGUUUUGUGUGUUGUUUGCAAUAAAUGAAGGUUUGUUUUUAAUUAAUCUUUGUGAGGAAUGCUCAAAUGUUUUUAAUAAGUAGUCCAAUUAUAGAAUGCUUUUUUGAUUUGAAUAAAAAAGAAACAAUACAACAAAUUAAAGGAUAAUACAACAAUUUAAAAAAAAUACAACAAUUAUAAAAAAAUACAACAAUACAAUCUAAUGGUUUUCAUCAUUUAGCCAAUCCGUAUUGCUAGGUCCGUCGUCAUGGAAAAGUUUUCUUCUCAUCACAUCCCUUCGUUUAUGCUUCCAAUAGGCCUUUGUUUCAGGAGACAUAUGGCUCGUAUCCAUAGCCAUGAUUUUCAUCUCUUUUUCAUCCUCGUCUUUUUCUUUUGCAUGUUGCUUUUCAAUUGCAAAGGCUUCCAAUCGUGCCUUGUCCGCUUCAUCUCUCCUCAAGUCUCUCUCCAAUCUUAGAGAGUUGUUCUUAGCUAUUUGCUCGAAUAUUUGAACACAAUCAAUGUUCGAAGUGCCCCCUCUCUUGGCCUUUGCCGCCUUUCUCCCAAUAGGUCUCGGCGGACGUGGGAGUGGUGACUCCGUUUCCAUUGGGGAGUCCAAUGGUGAAUCGGUUAAUGGCGAUUCGUGGAGCGGCGUCUCAUGCAACACAACCGGGGGUGCGAUAAGAAUAAUUUUGAAUCUGGAACAAUCCUUGACAAUUUUCCAACAUUGGAAAUGCACAAAACCUUUUUUCCCUUGUCCCAUGGCACCGAACCACAUUUGUGCUUGUAUGAUCUAUUCAAAAUAAAUAAUUGGAAGUGCAUUAAAAAAAUAUACAAUGCAAGAAAUUAUAAACUAUUUUGAAAUGCAAGAAUAAAAUUGAUUAUGUAAAUAAAUAUAGACAAAUUGAAAAUGCAAAAACAAAAAAUAAAGAUUAUGCAUGAAAUUAUAAACAUAUUUGAAAUGCAAGAAUAAAAUUGAUUAUGUAAAUAAAUAAAGCCAAUUAGGAAAUGCAAAAAUAAAAUAAACAUUGUGCAACAAAAAGAAAUAGAAUAUGCAAUUAAAAAAAAGUUACAUUAAAUUGAUUAAAAUGACAAUUAAAAAUAUUUUACCUCAUCGGAAAGAUUCGCACCGCUCCGAAUGUUCUCCUUUGCUUUUGUCAAGGCAUUUCUCCAUUUCCCUAACUCUUUGUUUAGAAUUUUCCAUCUACUAGACAAAGCCAUUUCGGUCCGAAUGGAACCCGAUCUUUGACAAAAUUCUCCAUGAAUUUUGCUCCACAUAUGAUGGAACUUCAUCUCAUUGCCCGUGAUAGGGUCAUGACUAACGUUCACCCAAGACUCGCACAACGCAAUAUCUUCCUGGGUUGACCACGAGCCUCCGAUUUCAACAGAAGAUGCCAUUUGUUUAUUUUCUACAAAUGGAAAGUAGUACAAAAAUGUGAGUGGGUAGUAAAAAAUAUUAGAAGGAGAAGAGUUUGUAUGGAAUUGGUGUGGAAAGUGGAAAAUAUGAGUAGAGAGUAAAAAAUAUUGGAAGGAGAUGAGUUUGUAUGGAGAUUUGGUGUGGAAAAUGAAUUAUGUGAGUGGAGAGUAGAAAAUAUUGUAUGGAGAAGAAAUUGUAUGAAGAUUUCGUGUUGAAAGUAGAUAAAAUGGUUAGGUAUUUAUAGGGAAAAAAUACAUACAUUUUUGGUAUUUUUUAAAAAAAAAUUUCAGAAUUUUUUAGAAUUUUUUCGGAUUUUUUCGGAUUUUUUUUAAAAUUUUUUUGGCCAAAAAAAUGAGAACCGUAGGAUUUCUGAAAAAAAUCCAAUCGGAGCCACCCAGUGCCGACACGUGGCAUGUAACCGUUGGUGGUGACGUCAGCGCACUUCAGUCAAAUUUUUUUACCGUUGGCGCGUGUAAUACACGCGCCAACGGUAAAAAAAUUUGAAUUUACUGCGCUGACGUCGUCGUGAUGUCAGCGCUGACGUCACCUGAACUCGGGCUCGAGCCCAGUCAAUUUUCGCCCUUGGGCCUGCCCGGGCUCGUGGGACCCGCAGCUUGCCCGGGCUGCUUUGCGCGCGCUGGAGCUGGACUUGGGCUGAUUUUUGCCUUUUGCCUGGGCCAACCCCUGGCGCUGUACAUGCUCUAAGAUAGAAAUCAGGACCUAAAAGACAGCAAAAUAUCAAAAAUUGCGUUGAACAAUCUUCAGACGCCAAGAAUAGAAAGAAUCGCAAAAAUCGUAUCUUCCACAAUCAAUUAUGGUUCUGUCAAGCUGAUUUCUGCAGAUUUCACGCUUCUUAAUUGUCGAGGGUUUAGGGUUUCAUUUUAGAGUUGAAUUUGCCUUUCGUCUUCUUCAAUUGCAGCCAGUGGAAUUUGCCGUCGUUUGGGGAUUCUCACCUUUCUUCUCCAUCAAUUGCAUUGCCUGUGUUCCAAGUCUGUUGUAUAUUUACCUCUUUUGUAGGUGGAAAUCUUUGACGAUAACAAAACCUGCUUGUUGAACCAAUUUGUAUAUGUAACUACUGUGCUGAACCAAUUUCUUUUUGUUUUCAUUUUCUAAUUGAGGACCCCAACUAUGUUUUUUCAUAGGUACUAUGUUCCUUGUGUGAUAUAAUUUCAUUCACACCAAAUACUAAGAUGGGUACACUAUUAGAGGUUACCUGUGCCAUAGUACUGUUAGAGGUUACCUGUAGCUUUGGAGUUAUGCUGCUAGAGAUGCAAUUAGCAAAGCUAAAACCAUGGAAACAUGACUUCUAUGCACUAAAACUAAAACCAUGAAAACAUGACUUCUAUGCACUAUAAGUCAUUACAUAUGACUUGUGUAAUGAGAAGUUUGCUAUUUGUAUUGUAUAUUAAUCUUAACUAAAAACCCAGCUGGAACAGCAGAAGUCCCCUCCUAGCUAUGUCAUUUGGUGCUACAGUGUUGGAUGCAUUGUAUCUUAUAGGUUAUUUAUCAAAUUCAUACAACUUUCUAAAUGUAGAAGCUUUUCUGAUCUUUGUACACUUGGGUCCUGCAAUGCAUAUACAACACUUUAUGUGGCGUUCAACAUCAGAUCGUGAAGAGAAUGCCUAAAAAGGAUCUCACUGAGGAGGCGAUCGUGAUUGCGUGAAUUCAUUUGCUGUUUUUGGCUAGAGUUAUGAUUUGUACCAGCCCAAAUUUUGUGUGUGUAAAUGUCAUGAUCUGUACAUAUGUAUUGCAUUUAAUGUUUCCUCUCUCCCUCCUUCAUGUUAAUAACUUGAGAUUAUACUUGUGAGUUUUACAGUCAUGUUCUUGUUUUGUCCAAGCAGUUAUGUAAAUCUUCAUUUGUGCCUUCAUUAUCACAUGUAUAUGCCAAACUUCUGAGAAGAAAAUCCCAAACAAUGUGUCAAGUACCUGUGUCGUAGGUACACGGUGGGAGGUUACCUGUAGACUAGGUUUCAUAUCAGGUCGACGUGUAAAGUACCUGUGCCAUAGGUACACUGUCAAAGGUUACCUGUAGCGUUGGAGUUAUGCUAAUAGAGAUGCAAUUAGCAUGGCUAAAAUGACAGAAAUAUGAUUUUUAUGUACCACCCAUAGCCGUUGGACCCCGCUAAAAUGUCCAAAACCUAAAAUCAUAUUCUGUAAAAUGUAAAAGCCUACACCCUUAUAUUAUGUAUACAACCACAAUCCACAAUGAACUCCACUGAAAACCCAAAUCACAGGGGAUUCUCUAAUCAAGAUCACCACCAACUAAAAUCCAAUGUACCUCCAACUCUAACAUAUAUAUAUCCACCAAAUUUUUGUUUUCAUUGAAUACAGACAUGUACAAAACGCGAACAUCCAUGUCAUCUUGUGAUAAACAUGCUUAGUGGUUUCCAAUUGCGUAUGUCAUCUCCAUUUCGCAUGAAUUCAACUCUUUAAAUCGAGAGCAAAUUUGGCUGCAUAAGUCCACGUACUUGGUAUCCUUGAAAAUCAGUACUGAAUAAAUUUUCAAACCGAACCAGCAUUUACCAACUAUCAACUCGUCCAUUCCUGUUUAAAUACAAAUAAACAAAAUUAAAAAUAACAAGAGCAAAUACCUGUGCCGAAGAUAUAUACAAUUAAUUAACUCACAAUUUGAAGUAUAAUACAUGACACAAUGAAACUAUGCACACAAAUGAUUAUUACAGAAGUUGGGUUCAAAAGCUGCAAGUGAAUAGGUCCUCCAUGACUUAUAGGUGACAUAUGCACUGUACCACAGGUAUAUGCCAAAUGCUUCAGAACAUAAUCCUACCCACUGUGUAAAGUAGCUGUGCCAUAGGUACACACUCAAUGAGUUACCUGUAGGUUAGGUUCUACGUGAAGUGCCCUAACAAAUCACAAAGUGAUAGUUGUUACCACUGACAAAUUUUGGUAGAAAAACUACAGUACUUGCAUAACCUUUAUGACCAAUAGUUUCAAACGCUUCAUUAUAUGCUCUUAUGGAUGAGUGCUUAUCUAAUGAAUAGACAUGAGAGGGACCCUAAACUCUUAUGUUAAAUACACUGCACAAAGCUUGGACAAGAUGUUGUGCUCUCUGUUUCAGCCCAAGAUUGGCAAGUAUUCCAGAAAUCGAUUAAAAGAGUACUGAAGUUGCUUUAUGUAAUGAAUAGACAUGAGAGAGAGCAAAUUUAGCACAAUCCAAAGGCAACAUGCAACAGUCUACAACGUUGACAAUCUUAAAUUGUUAAUCAUGAUUCAAAACAAACAAUACACGACAAAUAAGACAGACGGCGACAAACCAAAAUACAGGAUGUUGAGGAUUUUACCACAACGUACCUAUAGCAUAGUUAAAAGAUCAUAAAUUACCUAUACAACAGGUUCUAGUUGAUGAUUAAACCCAGUUAUGAUAUUUCUCUAUUACAGAUUCAUAAACCAUCAAACAAAGUCGGAUUUGCCAAAACAGAUUUGCAGCAAAACCAUUCACCAAUAAUUGAGAAAAGCAACAACAAACACUCUCGGAAAUCAUCAGGAACAAUCCAAAACAGAAAAGGAUGAACGUACGCUGAAUGAGAGAUUUUACCUGGCAUACAGGAACUGUCAAUUGACAACGCAGUUUCUAAUAAUCCAACAAUUUGGGGUUAUUCCAUCUGUAAUUGUGAAUUAUUAGAAGAAACCCACAAAAAUUCCUGUUAAAGAACCAAAAAAUCAGUGAAAAUUGGCAAAGACGGAGCAUGAGUUUUGGGAUUUCUGCGAUUUGGGGGAUCUGAGAUACGUGAUUUUGGGUAUCUGAGAUAUGCGAUUUUGAUGAACGUUCUUUACUUUCCGUUUGUUAAUAAUGGCAGUAGUUGUAAAUAAAUUAAAUUUUGUGGCCACACUAUUUGCUUAGGUGGCUACACGACUAGGCUUUAGGACUGGAAUUAAUAGGUAACAAUUACUGUCCUCCAAUCAAACUAUAUUCUUGAAAUUGGUAUCGAAAAAAAAAGAAAAAAAAAGUUGAUAUAGAUCCAUAUUUUCAUUGAGAAGUUGGGCUUAAUCUCGAAUUUGGCGACUUUAAUACAAGUCCUUUGACUCUUGUGCCACAUAGGAUUACAUUCAUUUUUAAAUAUUUUCUGAUGUAAUCUUUUUAUUUUUAUUUUUUAAAAUCAUUUUUUGUUCCAAUGUUGCCCAUUAUACCUUGAAUCGGUUAAUAGUAAUUUAUUUGAUAAUAAUUAGCCAUUUAUGACUGUCAUUGAAUAGAAAAGGAAAAUAUCGUAUCCCGGAGAGCAUUUAAAUAAAAACCUCUCUCUCCUCAUUGAAUCAGUUUCCUACCCCAAGAGCUGUUCUCCCACUUCGUCUUCCCAUCAACAGCCUCUAGGAAAAACUGCCACUAGUGAAAGGACGAAAAACAAUUUGAAAAAAAUAAGCCUACAAUAUACUUCCAAGGAAGAGAAUUAUGCCAGAAUAUUCCUCAAAUGGUACUAAUACUGGAGAUACUUGUUGGCAACUUUUCUUGGGGACCAUAGCAACAUCUAUUUUUGUAUCUAACUUAUAGGCAGUGUUCUAAUUUAUGUUCCUAACUUAUAGGUAGUCUUUUAAUUUAUGUUCCUAACUUAUAAGUAACACGAUUUAUAACUAAGGUUUUUCCAUUGCUAAUAAUAACACUAUUUACCUAUAUGUUAGGCACAUAAUUUCAUGUGGGUGCUUGUUUGAAUAAUUGGUAUAAUAUGUGGGUUUUUAUUUUUCAUUGAUUAAAUUGUAUUUUAUCCAUAUAUAGGUAAAUAUUAUCACCGGCUGUCUUGUCAAUUUGAAGCUACUUGUUUUCUUGCAAAUGUUAAGGAGUAAAAAAUAAAAAAAAUAAAAAAAAUAAAAAAAAAAAUCUCUCCCGACGAAAUGUUGUCGGCACAUGUCUAUGCUGGCAAUAUUUUCCGGAUUAGAACUCUCCCGACGAAACUCACCUUUGCCAAUGAAGUCAUCGGGAGAGGUCUACGGGCAAACUUCGCCGGGAUAUAUCUGCGCCGGCGAACUUUCGUAGGGUAAUUUUUUUUUUAAAUAAAUUUUUUUUAAAAAAAUACCAGUUUAGUAUCUUUAAUUUACUAAAAUAUUUAAAUACUAAUUAUUCACUAAGUAAAUAAUAAUUAAAAUAUAACUUCUAAAUAAAAUAAUUAGAAAAGAGAAAUCAAAAUUAUGCUAUUUAAAGAGUAUAGCCGUCCGGCUAUACUUUUAAAAUAGUAUAUAUACAGAGUAAGGCCGCGCCGCUAUAAGUCUAACAUAUUCUAUUCUAUUUCUAGAGUAACUACGGGCAGCUAUACUUUUAAAAUAUUCUGUUUGUAUAGUAAAGCCGAAUGGCUGUACUUUAUAAAUAAAAUUAAAGAAACUAAUUUUAUAUGUUUCAAAUUUAUAAAUAAAUUAAAAAAAGCAAGAAAAUCUCUCCCGACGAAAUUUUGUCGGCGCAGGUCUUUGCCGGCAAUAUUUGCCUGAUUAGACUUCUCCUGACGAAACAGACCUUUGCCAACGAAUCUGUCGUCGGGAGAGGUAUAAUCAGGCAAAUGUUUGCCGAGAUAGAACUGUGCCGACAAAAUUUUGUCGAGGGAGGGUUUUUUUUUAUUAAGAAAAAAAAAACUAGUUUUGUAUCUUUAAUUUAAUAAAAUAUUUAAAUACUAAUUAUUAUUUAUUUAGUAAAUAAUUAGUAUUAAAUAUUUUAAUAAAAAUCCUGGAAUUAGUUUUGGUACCCAAGUAUUUUAGUAUUCGAAAAAUGGAAUUUAGCGUUGAAACUUAAAUCCAAUUCACAACGUGAUUCGAUAAUAUCAACUACUUGUUGGUGUUUGAUUGAAAUACAUGAACUUGAGACCCACAUUGGAAAAGAAGAGAAUGUAUCAACUCUUUAUAAGUGGGAGUCUUCCGACACGUGCUAUAUGCAAGGUGGGUGUAACACCCCGACCCCAAAUUUCCCCAAAUUUUACUCUCAUUUAAUUAUUUAAUUAUUUAAGGAUAUUUUAGUCAUAUUUUUAACCGGAGAGAGUUUGGGACCGCGACUUACAUUUUUGGAUAGGUCGUACUGAGAAGAGUUCAUAGACACGUAGUGGGCUCGAAUCGGAGUUGUAACGAGAGAGAUAUGGUCAAAAGAAACCCAGUGGCACAAUCGUAAAUAUUUCAAAAUGGGAUUUUUUUAUAAAAAACCUGGUUUCUCUCUCUCUCUCUCUCUCUCUCUCUCUCUCCCGCGAGCAGCCCCUCCCCUCCCGUUUUUUUCUGCACAGCCGGUGGCUCCAAGAGCCACCACAGCCGCCACCAGCCACCGAUUGGGGUGGUACCGGUCCCAAAAGAACCGCCAGCUCCUCCUCCUUCCAUCCCGCUCCAUCCCCGACCUCGGCAGCCGCUGGUGUCGCCGGAAUCUGCCGGAAAACGAGCUGGUUUUCACAGAUUUUCAAACCGCUCGUUCUCCCUCAUUUCUUCUCCAAAUUUGACGAGUAAGGUAUGGAUUUCUACCUAUUUUUCAUGCUCUAGCUGAUGGUUGGAUAGGAUUUCGUUAAUUUUUAGCCUAGGAUAGCUGAUCUUCAAUUUGAAAUUCUGCCGAUUUUGAGAGUUUGUUUUCGGCCACUUCCAGUCACUUUUUGGGGUAGGUCUAAGAACAAAAGUGGCUCCAAAUAGGGUGAUAUACCUAGGGUAGGAGUUUGGAGCCGAGAUGUUGAGAUUUUCCGGCGAAGCGUUAUCGCUUUGGGCACCCACGCGCUGCCGGCGCGUGCGGCGGCGCGUGGGCACUGUAGAAAAUUAGCACUGUGUUCCGAUGAGAUCCUUAGGUUGUCACGAGUGCGUAGGAUUUUACGGAUCUCAAUUCGGACAUCGUUUGACUAUCGAACGGAUAAUCGCAUAGUAUGCGUUAUCCGGGUCCGAUAGGUUGGGACCGUCGGAUGGUCCCAAAUUUAAUAUAUGUUAAUCUAGGUAUUUCUAGGAUCGUGUAGGAAUUCACGGAUCCGCAGGUCCGUUUGACCAGGGUUAGAGUAGUUUGACCCUUGGUUGACUGUGAGCCACCCGGAGUAAUCUCACCUCUCCAGGGGAGAUUAUCGGGUGCUAGAUGAUUGUGGAGGGUGACACAAUAUUAGGAUUAAUUUAUAUAAAUAUAAUUAUAUGUGGUUGUACAAGGGUACAACAGAGUCUAGAAUGUCAGUUUGGAGUGCUAUACGCACUACCGUAGGUACCUCCUCGGACGUUGGAUUCACUACAAGUACCACCAAGAGAAAGUGAGGUCGCACGUGGCGUAGGUUAUCCGGCGUGUCGACAGACCCCAUACGUGGCGUUGGUUGUACCGGCGUAUGCGGAGCUAUGUAAUAUGAUGUUCAGGUCUCACGUGGCGUAGGUUAUUCGGCGUUGAGACAGACCCCAUAUGUGGCGUUGGUUGUACCGGCGUAUGGGGAGCUAUGUAAUAAUGUGUUGAGGUCGCACGUGGCGUAGGUUAUCCGGCGUGUCGACAGACCCCAUACGUGGCGUUGGUUGUACCGGCGUAUGGGGAGAUUUGUGAUAUGAUAUUGAGGUCCCGCGUGGCGUAGGUUAUCCGGCGUUGGGACAGGCCCCAUACGUGGCGUUGGUUGUACCGGCGUAUGGGGAGAUUAUAUGAAAUACAAAGAAAUGAAAUAAGGUAUCGCUCAAGUAGGGAAUUGAGUUUUAGGGAAGAACUACGUGUGGCUUGAUCCCUCAAGGAGGGUACGUAGGCAGCCUGAGGUUAUUAGGUGCAGCCGCAGACUAAAUAUUAGUCAUAAAUUGUAAUUGAAUUGUUUGGUAGUUGUUUGAGAAUUUUGGAAGGCCGAAGGCCAUUUAUGAGAAUUUGCAUGAGAUUAUAUUGUGCAUGCUGCCCGUUGGUGAUAUUAAAUGCGUUUUCAUGCAGGUAUAAAUUUUGGGAAACGUCCAAUUUACAGGGGAGACUCUGCCGAAAUUUUGGCAGGAUUUCGGCAGGAAGUCUCGGUUUCAGUGAGUGGGCCUGACAUCGGGGUGAUGUCAGGAAUCCCCAAAGGGUUCGUCUCGAAUUUUGAGAAAAUUCGGGGCGGGUCCUUAACGUUGGUAUCAGAGCUCUAGGUUCAAUUCCCUGUGGACCCUACACUUUAUGUGCAUCCUUAAAUUGUGGGGAUCAAAAUGGGUACCAUCUCGGAAUGGCACAUUUGCGACGUUGAGGACGUCACAAAAGUCAAAUUAUUUCACAAAGGAAAGGUACAUAGGCCACCGGAGCAUAAGUAGAGCUGGAGCUUUACCACAGACAGUGGUUGUUUCAGAAGUUCCGGAAGAUGGCGAGUAGAAGCCGAAAGUUUGCAUAGGGUAACACCUGUACGUAUGGUACAGUUGGAUGUCCCUAUGAUAAAGUUGUCCGUUGGGUUCGCAUAAGCGGGAGGUAGGGAGUGGAUCCACCUACUUCUAGGGAUCCUCCAUUGCCUGAACAUGUUGCUAAUUUUCGAUUGUGUGCCUAGAGCACCGAGUCGAAGAUCCUAAGAGCAUAACCUCUCUCUGGGACGAGCAACUCCCCGACAUUGGAUCAAGGGAUCCAGGGUCUGAAGGGUGGUGUUGGUAUAAUCGAAAUCACAAGUGUCUCUUACAGAAAGAGGCUCGUGUGUGGUGAGAAUACUAUGGUCAAGUCUAAGGACGAGACCCAGAUGGAUGGAGAGAGUCCUUUGGGGUCUCAUCUCACGUGAGCACGUUUGAGUAGAGAUCUUUCAUCGGAAUCAGAAAUGGAUCAUGGUCGAGAGAGAUCGAUGAUGAUUACAAUUCGGUAAAAAUGAUCAUUUCUGACUUUUCUCUCAACGAAUCGUGUUAGCAAAGUAAAGGGAGAAGUAGUGGAGUUGGGUGUAACCGUACUUCAUUUGCGUGGGCUUGAAUGCCGCGAUUGACAGGAGUGGAACAUUAGGGUUCUUCUUCUUCCUUGCUCUCUCACGUGAGCUCGCCAUAGUUAGAGAAGGAGACUUUUCUUUCUCUGCUUGCUUAGCUAGAGCUUUUGGCUUGGUUGCCAACACGGUUGUGGAGAAAGAACUUGGGAACCCGAGUGGUAGAUGCGGGCCCCAUGCUCACAACCCUUCGAAUGACAAGGUAGGAAAUUUCGGGGACGAAAUUUUUAUAAGGGGGGUAGUCUGUAACACCCCGACCCCAAAUUUCCCCAAAUUUUACCCUCAUUUAAUUAUUUAAUUAUUUAAGGAUAUUUUAGUCAUAUUUUUAACCGGAGAGAGUUUGGGACCGCGACUUACAUUUUUGGAUAGGUCGUACUGAGAAGAGUUCAUAGACACGUAGUGGGCUCGAAUCGGAGUUGUAACGAGAGAGAUAUGGUCAAAAGAAACCCAGUGGCACAAUCGUAAAUAUUUCGAAAUGGGAUUUUUUAUAAAAAAAACCUGGUUUCUCUCUCUCUCUCUCUCUCUCUCUCUCUCUCUCUCUCUCUCUCUCUCUCUCUCCCGCGAGCAGCCCCUCCCCUCCCGUUUUUUUCUGCACAGCUGGUGGCUCCAAGAGCCACCACAGCCGCCACCAGCCACCGAUUGGGGUGGUACCGGUCCCAAAAGAACCGCCAGCUCCUCCUCCUUCCAUCCCGCUCCAUCCCCGACCUCGGCAGCCGCUGGUGUCGCCGGAAUCUGCCGGAAAACGAGCUGGUUUUCACAGAUUUUCAAACCGCUCGUUCUCCCUCAUUUCUUCUCCAAAUUUGACGAGUAAGGUAUGGAUUUCUACCUAUUUUUCAUGCUCUAGCUGAUGGUUGGAUAGGAUUUCGUUAAUUUUGAGCCUAGGAUAGCUGAUCUUCAAUUUGAAAUUCUGCCGAUUUUGAGAGUUUGUUUUCGGCCACUUCCAGUCACUUUUUGGGGUAGGUCCAAGAACAAAAGUGGCUCCAAAUAGGGUGAUAUACCUAGGGUAGGAGUUUGGAGCCGAGAUGUUGAGAUUUUCCGGCGAAGCGUUAUCGCUUUGGGCACCCACGCGCUGCCGGCGCGUGCGGCGGCGCGUGGGCACUGUAGAAAAUUAGCACUGUGUUCCGAUGAGAUCCUUAGGUUGUCACGAGUGCGUAGGAUUUUGCGGAUCUCAAUUCGGACAUCGUUUGACUAUCGAACGGAUAAUUGCAUAGUAUGCGUUAUCCGGGUCCGAUAGGUUGGGACCGUCGGAUGGUCCCAAAUUUAAUAUAUGUUAAUCUAGGUAUUUCUUGGAUCGUGUAGGAAUUCACGGAUCGUGAAUCGGAGCCCCGGAUGUUCCGAAUAAUAAUUUAAAGUUUAUAUUUUAUAUUAACCGUCAGAUCGUGCGAUCGUGAGCAAUCCGACCGUCCGAUCUGAACCAAACUUGCAGGACAAGUGUCCUAUACCUGGUAGAACCCAUAGGGACUUCCGGAUCGGAAAUUGGAGGUCAUGGGUUCCGCAGGUCCGUUUGACCAGGGUUAGAGUAGUUUGACCCUUGGUUGACUGUGAGCCACCCGGAGUAAUCUCACCUCUCCAGGGGAGAUUAUCGGGUGCUAGAUGAUUGUGGAGGGUGACACAAUAUUAGGAUUAAUUUAUAUAAAUAUAAUUAUAUGUGGUUGUACAAGGGUACAACAGAGUCUAGAAUGUCAGUUUGGAGUGCUAUACGCACUACCGUAGGUACCUCCUCGGACGUUGGAUUCACUACAAGUACCACCAAGAGAAAGUGAGGUCGCACGUGGCGUAGGUUAUCCGGCGUGUCGACAGACCCCAUACGUGGCGUUGGUUGUACCGGCGUAUGGGGAGCUAUGUAAUAUGAUGUUCAGGUCUCACGUGGCGUAGGUUAUUCGGCGUUGAGACAGACCCCAUAUGUGGCGUUGGUUGUACCGGCGUAUGGGGAGAUUAUAUGAAAUACAAAGAAAUGAAAUAAGGUAUCGCUCAAGUAGGGAAUUGAGUUUUAGGGAAGAACUACGUGUGGCUUGAUCCCUCAAGGAGGGUACGUAGGCAGCCUGAGGUUAUUAGGUGCAGCCGCAGACUAAAUAUUAGUCAUAAAUUGUAAUUGAAUUGUUUGGUAGUUGUUUGAGAAUUUUGGAAGGCCGAAGGCCAUUUAUGAGAAUUUGCAUGAGAUUAUAUUGUGCAUGCUGCCCGUUGGUGAUAUUAAAUGCGUUUUCAUGCAGGUAUAAAUUUUGGGAAACGUCCAAUUUACAGGGGAGAUUCUGCCGAAAUUUCGGCAGGAUUUCGGCAGGAAGUCUCGGUUUCAGUGAGUGGGCCUGACAUCGGGGUGAUGUCAGGAAUCCCCAAAGGGUUCGUCUCGAAUUUUGAGAAAAUUCGGGGCGGGUCCUUAAAGUGGGCCUAGGGGAGUGGAACUUGGAUUUACCCAAACUAAUUUUGUAUACAAAAUAAAAUAAAAAUCAUAGUCCACAAAAUAAUUUAAAAUAAUUAAUUACUAGGAUUCAUUAUGGGUAGUUGUGUUCCAUAAAAAUAGGAUUCAUUAUUUGAUUUUUCUUUUAAUUUUAAUUUUUUUAAUAUAAAAAGGUGUGAAUUUAUCAUAUUAUCCUCAUUUAAUUAAUAAUUUUAAUUCUUAAUGUUUGGAUUAACUAAGGCUAUUUUAUGGUAUUAUGAAUGUUUCACCAUUCUCUGCCUUUUGCUUUAUUUAUACUAGCCUCUCUGCACGCGCUUCCGCGCAUGCGAGAGUUUUUUUUUUUUUUUUAAAUUUAAAUUUAUUUUAGAAUUAAAAAAGAUAAUGGAUAUUUGUGUUCCAUAAAAAUAGGAUCCAUUAUCUGAAUUUUCUUUUAAUUUUAAUUUUUUUAAUACGAAAAAUUGUGAACUUACCAUAUUAUCCUCAUUUAAUUAAUAAUUUGAAUUCUUAAUGUUUGCAUUAACCAAGGGCAUUUUCUGGUAUUUUAAAUGUUUCACCAUUCUCUGCCUUUUGCUUUAUAUAUAUAGAUAUAUAAGAUAUAGAUUAACCAAAUAGUUCUCAUAAAGAUACGACUUCAAACUAAUUCCUUCAAUUUUGUUUGAAAAAAGUACAAGAGCAUGUUUUGUUUCAAUUCUGUUCGACUAUUUUUAUUUUGAAAAAUUCAUAGUUUGUUAACUGGAAUUAUAAUCUGAUUUCAUUUCACUAACGUAAUUCACUAAUAUUUCAUAUGCUUUCUACUCGCAGGCACGAAUCUGAUUUCAUUCAUAACAUUGUUGAAGAGAUUUUGACACAAGUAUUAAAAGUACCUAUUUCACUGUAGCAAAGUACAAUAUAUGAAUGUGCUUUUAGGUCGCAUGCAUGGUAGACAACAAUUGCUAAAGCUGUUUAUAAUUUAAUUGCCUAUAAAUUUGAAGGGAGCUGUUUUUUUGGUAAAUGCGUUGGAGAAAAUUCAACAACACGUAUGUCUCUCUCUCUCUCUUAUGAGGAACAGGAAGAUGAACCUACUUCCUGAGAGAAUUGAAAAGAAAAGAAGAUUGUAGGGGCAAGAUUAACCAUGUUUGAAGAUUUUUUUAAAAAAAGAACAAAGAAAAAACUACUUCUUCAUGUACUGUUGAAUUGAAUGCCACUUGGUAUAUGUUGAGGCUGAGGAUGCUUUUGGGUUUAGGGGGAUGUCCUUGUAUAGUCUUUCUUGUUUUAAAACCUCUGCCAAUUACUUGUUUUUUUUUUUGUCCUUUUUUUGUCUUUUUUUGUCUUUUUCUUUUUGUGAAUUUGAAGCGGAAUUAAAGAUUGGGGAAAGACUAGAGUGAUAUUUUGGUUUGGAUGGCAAAAAAUUGGUGGAAAAUUUUGAGGGUUUGGCGCAUGAAUGUGGGGAAAACAGGAAGCAAAAGGCAGAAAUGCCUUGACAUGUGCAAGUGACUUGCCUCUUUGUGUACCAAAUUACCAUAAUUUGGUAUUUAUCUUUGAAUUGCUAUACGCAAUUUAGAAGGGUAGAAUUGAAAAAAUCAAAUAUAUAAGAACCAAAAACAAAAACUAGGCAAAUUAUAUGGACAAAGAUUGAAAUUUGACCUUAUUUAAAAGAAGAGAAACUAUGUAGAAGGAACUCCACUUAAAUCUUUAUAUACGUAAGGCUUUGAACAAAUUAUUAUAUGUAAUAUUGACUAUAUCAUAUACAAAAGGACAUUGAUUAGAGGACAGGUGGUGUCUUUCAUAAUAUUAAAGUUUUUAUUGAGUUUUUUUUAAAAAAAAGCUCCCCAUUAUAUAUGUGUAUUUGACUUGCAAAGUAAACAAUAACACCUCCAAAAAGUAUUUAAAAAGUAUGAAUAAUUGUAUAUGAUUAAAUUUUUUAUUUGGUCAGAAAACUGUAUAUGACAAGAGACGUUUUGAGUUCAUUGGAAAAAACAAGGUACCUAGCUAGAAAUCAAAUCAAAUAAAAUGAAAACGCGGUAACAGUCUCACUCAAUUGACCCCAUCGAUCAUAAGCAUCCCAUCUACCUCAUUGACUUUUUGUUCAUAUUACUCAAUAUCUUGAGACUUGAAUCUUGAUAUCAUGCUUUCACAGAAGAACUCCUUACUUCUUUGAUCGUUUGAAACUCUUCAUUCUUACAAAUUACAAUCUUGAUUGCUUCCUUUUGGACAAGAAAACAUGGUAGCAGUGGCAGAGGUCUUUCUUGGGGCACUCCUUCGGUUUCUGCUGGACAGGUUAUUGACUCCACUCAACUUCCUCGCGGACGGUGUUGGCAAAAAACUGAAGACAUGGAGUGAAAUGUUGUCUUCAAUUGAACUGGUGCUUCGUGAUGCAGAGAAGAAGCAACUAACGAGCAGUGCAGUGGAGCUGUGGCUGGAUGAUCUCAAAGACUUGGCUUAUGAUAUCGAAGACAUCCUCGACAAGUUUUAUACUGAGAUGUUACGGCGCAAGUUGGACGAACAACGUGGGGCUACAACAAGUAAGGUACGAAGCCUAAUUCCUAGAUUUGAAGUCCACUUUAAUAUGAACUUCGAAAUAAAGGAGAUUACCAAUCGGCUACAAGCCAUAUCUGAACGAAAAGAUAAACUUGGGUUAAGUUUAGAUGGUAUUGGAUCUUCCUCCACUAAACCUUGGCCAAGGCCACCAAGUUCAUGUGUUCUGAAUGGCGUGCCUGUUGUUGGAAGAGAUAGUGACAAAGCAAAGAUUGUUGAAUUGUUGUCAAGAAACUAUGAGCCUAAUGCUAUCAAUUUUCAAGUAGUUGCGAUUGUUGGCAUGCCUGGAAUUGGAAAAACAACACUGGCUCAAUUUGUAUUCAAUGAGGAUGAUGUGCUGAAACAGUUUGAUCUUAAGGCAUGGGUAUCCGUGUCCGAUGAAUUCGACGUUGUAAGUGUAACAAAGGCAAUUCUUGAAUCAGUCACGUCCGGACGCUGUGAUUUGGAGGAAUUCAGUAACAUUCAGAACAAUUUGAGCAAAGCAUUGGCAGGAAAAAAGUUUCUGAUUGUUUUAGAUGAUGUCUGGAAUACAUGUGACUAUAAUCUAUGGACAAUGCUGCAAUCCCCCUUUUGUGUUGGAGCAUCGGGAAGUAAGAUAAUCGUGACAACACGCGAUGCAGAAGUUCCAAGAAUGAUGAGAUCCACUGAAGUUCACAAUUUGAGCGGUAUAUCAAAUGGUGAUUGCUGGAAAGUAUUUAUGCAACAUGCAUUUUUUAAUAUUGAAGAAAGCUCCAGACCAACGAAGUAUGAAUUACUUCAGGAGAAAAUUGUUGCAAAAUGUUGUGGGUUGCCUUUGGCGGCAAGGACUCUUGGUGGUCUUUUAGGUUGUAAAGAAAUAAAUGAAUGGGAGGAAAUAUUGAACAACAAAUUGUGGUUUCUAUCUGAUAAGAGUGGAAUUCUCCCAGUAUUGAAAAUUAGCUACUAUUAUCUCCCUUCAACUUUGAAAAGGUGUUUUGCCUAUUGCUCAAUACUUCCAAAUGACUAUGAAUUUGGGGAGACACAGUUGAUCCUUCUAUGGAUGGCAGAAGAUUUGAUUCAGAAACCAGAAGAAAAUAAACAAUUGGAAGACGUAGGCCGUGAGUAUUUUCAAGAGCUUGUGUCUAGGUCCUUAUUUCAAAAAUCAAGCAAACAAGAUUCAAGAUAUGUGAUGCAUCACCUCAUUAGUGAUUUGGCACAAAAGGUUUCCGGAGAAACCUGUUUAAGAUUGGAGGAUAUCUUGGAUGGUAGAUGGUCUCCGAAGACUCGUCAUUUGUCUUACACUGCUGGUAAAUAUGAUGGAGUCAAAAGAUUUGAGGCGUUUGCUAAAGCAAAAGUUUUGCGGACUUUUCUACCACUUUCAAUUUCACAGGAUCCAUGUAAUUAUUUGACUUGUAGGGUUACUUUUGAGUUACUGCCAAAGUUGCAAUACAUACGAGUGCUCUCUUUGAAUGGUUAUCGAUUAAUCAAGCUGCCGAAUUCAAUUGGUGAGUUGAAGUUUCUCCGAUACCUAGAUCUUUCUCACACGGAAAUAACGAGUUUGCCUCGUUCAAUAAGCACACUUUGCAACUUACAAACGUUGAUAUUAGAGAAUUGUUAUAGUUUGAAGGCACUACCUGCAAACAUGAAGAACCUAAUUAAUCUGCGUCAUCUCAACAAUUCAAACACACCUUCAUUGCAAGGAAUGCCUGCACAACUAGGUCAACUGACGAAUUUGAAAACAUUGAGUAAUUUUGUGGUGAGCGAAGGUAGGGAGUCGAGUAUAAGAGAGGUAGAGCCCCUAUUGCAUCUCCAGGGGACAUUGCGCCUCUCAAGAUUGCAGAAUGUGAAUGACAUUGAGGAUGUGAAGAGGGCGGACUUAAUUAGCAAGGCCGGGCUUGAUGUAUUGCUACUAGAAUGGAAUGGCUUAGGAGAAAAGGAAUCCGACGUGCUCGACAUGUUACAACCUCAUAGGAAGCUCAAAGUGCUCAGCAUCAAGGGAUAUGGUGGUUUGGAAUUUUCAAAAUGGAUUGGACAUCCUUUACUCUCUAGCUUGACAACGGUGUGCUUAGAGGGUUGCAACCAUUGCUGUCUGUUGCCAUCACUUGGACAAUUGCCAUCUCUCAAAAAGCUUUCUAUAAAAAGAUUGUGUGCAGUGGAAGUAGUGGGUCUUGAGUUCUAUGGAACGCUAAGAAUGCCUUUUCCACUGUUAGAGAUCCUUGAGUUUGAGGAUAUGAAACAUUGGAGGGAGUGGUUUCCAUACGAACAAGAUCAAGAUCAAGGAAUUAGAGUUUUCCCUUGCCUGAAAAUGCUUUCCAUAUCCAAAUGCCCCAAAUUGGAGGGCAGGUUACCCGAGAACCUUGAUUCACUGUCAAAGCUUGUGAUUCGUGGAUGUGAGCAGUUGGUGAUUUCAAUUUCUGACUAUAAACAACUUCAGAAAUUAGAUAUUGAUGAUUGCAAAAGGGUGGUCCAUAUAAAAGUUCAGCUUGAGUUAUUGGAGGCCUUGCAGCUUUCAAGUAUUGCAGAGUUCAAACUCCAAAUAAAGGAUUUCAUGGGAGGAUUACCAAAGCUUAAUGAUCUGGUUAUUAGCGGUUGUGAUGAGCUCACAUCUUUAUGGCAGAAUGAAGAUAAAUUGCUCCAUAACCUGAUUUCUCUUCGUUGUUUGGUUAUUGGAGACAACCCUCACCCCCAUCUUGUUCAAAAUCUUGUCUCACUCCAAGAGCUUCACAUAUAUGACUGCCCAAGUCUGAUUUCUUUUCAAGAGUUUCUUUUGCCACCUUUUGUCAAGGAAAUAAAAAUUGAGCGGUGCAGUUCUCUUGUGUAUUUUGCAAGAUACCGGAUACCUCCAAAUCUAAGAAGAAUGGAUAUUAUGUUAUGCGAAAAUUUGAAAUCACUGCUGGAGGAAGAGGAGGUAAAGGGUUCUUCGUCAUCCUCUUCUCCUUACCUGGUGAAAGAAGAGGAAUCUUGUCUUGAGUACUUGAGUAUAGAGGAUUGUCCAUUGCUGACGUCCUUAUCAUUUGAAGACCAUCUUCCCGGGACGCUUAAACAUCUUCGCAUAAGCGAUUGUGAACAGCUAGAGACAAUAACCAAUAGGUUCAAGCAUAACACUUGCCUUGAAGAAAUUAAGAUCUCGCGUUGUAAAAAUCUCAAGUGUUUACCGGAAGGCCUAUGCUACCUCACCAAUCUUCAAGAGUUAGGUAUUUAUGACUGUGCAAGUCUUGUUUCCUUCCCCGAAGGAGGGUUGCCACAAAGCGCUGCCUACCUAAGAGAGAUCGACAUCAGCUACUGCAACAAAUUGGAGGCACUACCCAAAGGCAUACAUGACCUCAACUCUCUUCAGAUAUUGAGCAUUUCUUGUUGCGAAGGUUUCACGCAGUUUCUAGAAGAUGGUUUUCCCCCUAACUUAAUACAGCUUACAAUUUAUAAUCUCAAGAGCUGUAAGGCACUCUUGGACUUGGGGUUGCACAGGCUCACCUCUCUUAGAGAACUGGAAAUUCGUGGCAAAGACCCAGACGUGUUGUUCUUCCCUCCUGAGAAAGAGAUGGUGCUUCCUAAAUCUCUCAUUCGACUUACAAUUCAGGACUUCCCGAAUCUCGUUAAACUCAGCAACGGCUUUCAACUCCUCAACUGUCUUCAAUCUUUUCACAUCGAGGGGUGUCCUAAGCUAGCAUCAAUGGCAGAGGAGAGUCUUCCUCUAUCACUUACACAACUUACUAUCUAUCACUGUCCGCUGCUAGAAGAGAGAUGCAAACCAAGUAAAGGAAGAUAUUGGCCCUCCAUAGCGCACAUCCCUUACAUUCGGAUUCAAGACCACGUGCAUAGAGCAAAUCCAGAUCAUAGCCCGCGCCUCCCGUUCUCGUGCUCUCCUUCCAGGUACUUCCAACAUGAGACAACAAUCAAAACCAUUAUUAUUUGUUUUCACUAAUUAUAAACUUUUAUGAUAUGUAAUUUAUUAUAUUUCACUAGCAGAUCAGAGGACCAGAGGACCAAGCUAGCUAUCACGAACACAUAAAUUUCUUUCCUUAAAGCCAUCUUAUCGGAGAUCAAUUACGGUAAGGAAGAUCAUCAUCUUAUUUUUAUAUUCCUACUAGAUUAGUGACCAAACCUUUUGGUAAUCCGAACACAUAAAAAAAACCAGAGUGUUUUAUUGUCACUGAUUUAUCCUUUUCAUAAUCCAUGCUUGUUGUUGCCAUGCUUACCUGUGACAUGGUUCAGAUAACCCUAUCAUAUAAAAAAAAAAAAUUACUAAAUUCAAUUCUGAGUCAAAUGUCAGUUGGGAUCAAAAUUUAUUUAAACGUAUUACUGAUUUAUUUUGUAGGGAUGCUUGAACAAUGGACCCUUUUACUCAUCAGCCUUUGUCCAGAGAUUUUGUCACAUGCUUUUGAUCAGGCUUCCUCACCAAGUAACCCUUAGUUUGCAUUUGGGAGCUUGUUAGGCUAAAAUGGAAAGAGAUGAAUUGAGGAGGUGGGGAGUGUUGUGGUGGCUUUGUGGUAAUCUUCCUUAAAAUUUAUGGAUUAGUUGGUGGCAUGGCAUCUCUCAGUGCAUUUGUUCGAUAUAGUUGACUAUGUUCGAUUUCAUUAGGCAUGAUGAAAAUGUUAUCCUCUUUGGCCUGCAGGGGCAUUCAAAGUUAUAUGCAAGUCAAUUUGUUGUUCUGUUUUGUUUUGAAUUUGAAUUGUAGCAUGAACUGGGAUGCAGUUUUUGCUCUAGGAUUGAAGUGAUUUGGAUUCCACAAUUCCUGACUCUUGGUUUCUGAUUUAUGACAUCAUUUUCUCUGAUUGAAAAGACAAUGAUGGAAGAAAUAUUAGUUUGGGCAUCGGUGCAGGGCUUUGACUAGCAAUACUCUAAUGCUAACCAUUUUCCCACUCAUUCUCACUACUUGGGCUAAUCGCCCAGCCCCUUAUUGCUUCUAUUUAGAGCACCUCCAGCAACAAACCCAAGCCCGGACAGGACAGGGCCCGAGCCCAGACAGGAGGUUUCAGCAGGCCAAAAGAGUCCGGGCAAGGCGUGGGUCCCAUUGAACUGGGCCAGCCUGCGAGUGAAACGAGCCUGAGGUUGAGUUGAGCCCGAAGGCUGCUGAUGUGAAAAAAUGAAAAGAAGUAUUUGCUUAGCAAGACCCAUCAAAAAUUGAAAAGAAGAAGAAAAGAGGAGGAGUUGCUUCUAUUAAAUUAAUUGAUUUUGUUUUUCCUUUUCGAUCCUCUUAAGUCAAUCUUUAGUACGUAUGGGUUCUGUGACCACUCAAUUACGAGCCUCUUCCUCUUCUUCUUUCACCCAUUCAUUGGCAUAUGAUGUCUUUCUCGGUUAUAGAGGCGCCGAUGCACACAACAAUUUUACAUACAAUCUGCAUAGCAAGUUGCUUCAACAGGGAAUAAAAACCUACCUUUAUAGAAGAGGAGAAGAAGUUCCAUUGCCAAUGCUUCUCAAAGUUAUUGAAGAAUCAAGGGUUUCAAUCAUCAUAUUCACUGAAAAUUUUGCAUCCUCCGAGUGGUGCUUGAUUGAACUGGUUAAGAUCCUCCAAUGUAGAGAAUCAAAAAAACAAAUUGUUUGGCCAAUUUAUUACAAGGUGGAUCCUUUGGAUGUACGUGACCAGCAAGGUAGUUUUGGUGAGGCAAUUGCUAAUCAUUUUUGCACAUUCAAGGAUAACAUAGAGAAGGUGUUGAGAUGGAGGGCAGCUCUUACAGAAGCAACAAAGUUGUCUGGGUGGUAUUUCUUGCACGGGUAUAUUUUUUUAACCAUGCUAUUACCAGCUUUUGAAGUUGUUUUUUUUAAUCUCGUUCUCUAUUUAAACUUGAUAAUUUAUUUUAACUAGUUCCUUCAAUUCUGCUUGAAAAGAGUACAUCUAGAGCAUGUUCUUUGUUUCAGUUACAGCCCAUGAGUUAGUUGACUUUUUUUUUAAACCUAUAUGUAAUAUCAAAAUGUCAUAUCACUAAUGUUUCAUAUGUUUUUUUUACUGGCAGGCACGAAUCUAAUUUCAUUCAUAAGAUUGUUGAAGAGGUUUCAACACAAGUAUUAAACGCACCUAUUUGACUGUAACAAAGAAUAGAGUCUUGUGUAUAGUAUGAGAUAUGAAUGAGCUUUUUGUCGUAUUUGGUGGGUUGAAUUGAACUGGAUUAUCCAAUUAAAAUGAACAUGGGUCUAAUCUGUUGUUUGAUUUCAUUCUCUAGUGGGUUUUCUUCCAUUUCCACAGUUGAGCCCAUCACAUUUUUGCGAAGGUAUUGAUCUCCUUACAUUUAGUUGCGCUUCAUGUUCUGUUCUUGUUUUGAGACACAUUUUGAUAAAUUAAUUUUCUCGAUAUCAUGUUGUUGACAAUAAAUCCAACAACAAUUGUUCGCAUGAUAGGUAUAUGGGGGAUUGAAGGAAUAGGCAAGACAACAAUUGUUAAAGCUGUUUAUAAUUCAAUUGACUAUAAAUUUGAAGGUAGCAGUUGGAGGUGAGCAAUGUUGAUGAGAGAGUCAAUGUGAUAAAGAAAUGGUUAAGCCACAAUUUUGUGAAUUUUUUUUCCUUGUAUUUAUUUUCUUUGAAAAAUAAAACAAAACUCAGUUUUGGAUAGCCGCAUUCCGUUCAUCAUGCAUAUGCCACUAUUAUUUAUGGGUUUGACUUUAGUCAAAGAUGGCUAUUGGGCCUCUUGGCCUCUUGGGCCUCUUGGCCUCUUGGGUUCAGUCAAAGAAAUUAAUGAUAUCCACUAAUCCGAGUCCUUGGUUUAUUUAUAGAUAGUUAAAGUCAUGUCUUUGACGCCAUCAGUUUUGAGAGAAAAAAAUAGAAAAAUAUUAUUGAUUAAAAAAAAACUCAAAAAACCAACUUACAUAUAUGUUGACCAAAGAGGAAAACAGAAAAAGAGAGGAAGUCAAUCUCGUUACAACUUACAAGAACUGAUUGCAACACUACAUUGAGAAUUAAAGUUAAGGGAAAAGAUGUGACUUGUAGAGUGCAACGCGAUAUUGAGUUCGAUGAAAUGGGUCUUCCUCCCCCAAGAAAAAGAGCACAUCCCCAGCUGCAAUGCCUUUGUCCUUGGCAAACACUCUCCAUGCUCUAGACUGGAAAACUGGCUUUCUGUAUUUGCCCCGUCGUCUGCCGGAUAAUUUGAACUUGUAAACCCGCCUUUGGUUGUCCAAAACUCUGAUCGGGACAUCCCGAUCUGGAUUGACACAAGGUAGCAUCGCAAGCAUGGUGCUGGUCACUACAAGUCUUUUAACAUCUGAGGCCUUCAACACUUUCUCAAAAGGAUCAAGCUCCAUGGAACUCUCUCUCUCUCUCUCUCUCUCUCUCUCUCUCUCUCUCUCUCUCUCUCUCUCUCCGUCUCUCUCUCUCUCUGUGACAAAAUGAUGACCAAAACGCUAGCGACUUUGAUCACCUGCGCUAUAUGCCUUCUCUAUCUGCUAGGUUUAAGUUUAAUAUGUAUAUACACAAAUAUAAUAUAGGCCAAGAAUAUUGUGCACCUUGGCGUGACACGUCCUUUUAUGCGAAUUGCGGUUUGUAUUUUUGUUGCCAAAGGAGAAUUGCCCUGUAACACAAUACUGAAACCCAUCUCGAUUACCAAACACAAACUUUGUUGCCAAAGGGGAAUUGCCCUGUAACACUACAAUACUGAAGCCCAUCUCGAUUACCAACACAAAGGCUUCCCCCUACUCCAUCAGCCACGCAGCUCACCUAUUUGUGUCUUUCCAUUUCCAUUUCCAUCCCUUUCACAAAAUAUUCGUUUUUUGAUGUAUCAAACCCAUCAUCCUCACUCCCUUUACUGAUUGAAAAUCUUGGAUACAAAACUAUAAGGGUUUUGCUUUUAGGGAGGCUUGGAAUCAAUGGUUUUCUGGAGUUGGUGUUAGGACCAAUUUUUGGUAUAUUGGCAAUUUCCUGUUAUAAAAACAUAGAGUAGGCCUUUGAGGGUAACCUACAGUUGUUUUGUCUUUUUAGUUGGGUUUUUAGUUAAGUGGCUUUAUUUGUUAAAAAGCCCAUUUUUGCUAAAAGCCUUUUUGGUCUCUGGCCCAGUUUUAAGCGUGAAAAAUAAGAAGGGACUUGUACUGCUUUUUUACUCUGCGGCUUUCAGAAAAAUAGAAUAAACAACUUAUAAAUUAAGUUAAAAUUUCCUCUAAAACAAAUUAGACAUGACGCAAUUAGAAAUAUUUAGCUAUAAAUAUGUAAUUAUUGAAUACUUAGGUGUUUUAUAUACUUGUAUUUUCAACUUCAGCCCCCUAAUUUUACAAUUCUUCCUCCAACCCUGGAUUAAAUCAUCAUUUUUUCAUAUAUGUGUGAGUUCAUGAGCAUUAUGCAUGUUGGUGAUCAACAAUUGUGCCUUAAGGUGUGAGUAGCCGAGACCUGCGUUGUGUUAUCUCUUGUCAACGAAGGAAGACAAGAUCGUUGAUUGGGUUGAGUAGCAAAGGCGAGUAGGCAAGUCUGCCUUGUGAGUUGAGACUUAUAAAAUCUUUUUGUAUUCUUGCUCAUAGUGAUUUGUUUUCCGGCAUAGUGCCUGCAGUUGUGUCACUUGUGCGAUUGUUUGUGUUUUUGUUUGAAUUUAUUGCUACUGCAUAUUUUGGAAUUUUGAUUACAGAAUUGUUACAGUAUUUCAAUCCUAUUGUGGUGUUUGAGUAUUAAGAAACAUAUCGGUUGGCCAUUCUAGGAAAUUUUAGUUGGGCUAAUGACGAUUUUGGUGGGAUUCUUGAUCAUAUAUCUUGAAUUUGUCCAGCCAAAUAAUCAAGGGUAAUGGGGUCCAGCUCUUGGCUUGACUUGAGGCAGCGAGGUCGGUGGUGGGGUUUUUGUUUUUGCGCCCAUGAACUGAAGAAGCCCUGAUACCAGAGUUGGUAGAGUGCACAUAAUUAAAAGGGAAUAUGCGGAAGAAAAUUGCAUUGAUUACUGAUCUUCAACAAAGUGGUCCUUUUUAUUAAUCAGCCGCCUUUGCCUAGAGAUUUGGUCACUUGCUUUUGAUCAUGCUUCCUCACCAAUUAACCCUCAGUUUUCAUUUGAGAGCUUGGUCACAACGCUCAAGGGAAAGAGAUGAAUUGAGGAGGUGGGGAAUGUUGUGGCAGUCUUCCUGAAAAUUUAUGGAUUUGUUGGUGGCAUGACAUAUCUCGGUGCAUUUAGAUCCUUCUUCUGUUACAUGUCUGCACUUGGCUGCUUCAAGAUUGAGUUGGAAUGGAAUGGAUGAGACCAUUGAGCAAAAUGAGUAGCCAUAGGGAUAUUUAAAGUUAUGUGUGCCAAUUUGCUGUUCUGAAUUUCAAAUUGAUAAUAGACUUUAGAUUGUGCAACAAUUAUGCUAUGUGUUUUUGGUCUGUAAACGGUUUUAGAUUGAGAUGGUAUUCAGAUGAUGGGAGGCUUGACCCCAAGUAAACGGUUUUGGCGUUUUUGGUUUGUAAUGUUGUGACACUUUUAUAUCAAUAAUUCAUCAUUAGACUAACUUUUUAGGUCUACGAAACAAUCAGAAAGAAGAAAGGAAAAGGAAACAUAUCAAAUCCAUAAACUUUGGUUCUCCUUCCCACAUAUAUGCUUUAUUUAUAUGCAAGAAAAAAUGACAUUAAUUUAAUCAUGAAAACCAAAUGAUGUUAGAAUUUGAUUUUUUUUUUAAAGAAAAAUUAGUGAGAUCAAUGGUUGCUUCCCCUUUUUAACAUUGGAACUGUGGCGGCAAAAAUUGAAUCUAUAUCAUUUGUCUGUUUUUUUUUUUCAAACGAAAAGGAACUUCAUUAAGAGGCAAGAGCCAUGAACAGAACAUAAAAACUAAGACAGCACACGCUGAGCUAAAGCAAGUAAGUGGAGAGGUUAACUUAUUAUAAAAUAUAGAUAGGGAAAUGAAUGGAAAAGUGUUGGUUAGGCCGCGUAUGCAGAGGAGAUGACUAGAUAUCACGUGGAAUCAAAAGAACAUGGAUGUUAUGUUCUGAAUUAUUCAUAAAAAAUUGAUGUCUUAAACUCAUAAAAUUUAAUCAUUUAGCUAUAAUCCAAGGGCUGAUUUCUACUGUACUGCUAAGUUUUAUACUUCCAAUGUAAACUCUAACCCAUGACGUGAGAAUGCACGAAUGGCGAUCACAUGGACUAUCUGUUUUCGAGAGGCAUAUUUUUAUGUGUUUAGCCUUUUAGGCACUCUGCUCUACAAAGUCAAACAAAAAAGAAGAAGGUUUUUUUUGUUAAGAUUUUAGAUGGACGGAUUUUUGGUUCACAACUAGUAACACCGAUAUUAUCCUCAACUUAACUACAUGUUUAGCAGGUGUGAGGUUUUAUACAAAAAGUUUCAAUGUUAUUAGGAGUGGAAUCGUUUAUUAUAUGAAACUUUUUAUAUUGUUAAGAUUCCGAUAUGGGACUCAAGUAUUCUUUAACAUUUUUAGCGUUAUCUGAUAUAGAGGCGAUUUACCAGCUCCUAAUCAAGUUUUGGAAUCCUCCAUUUAUUCCUCUAGGAUCUACAAAGGAUUCUUUAGUUCGUGAGUUACCCAUUCGUGGGAAUAAAAAGGAUGCACGAAUGGUAGUCCGUGCACUAAAUUUCACAUUUAAAUAUAAAUUUAGCUCAUCACCGCAUUUAAAUUAUAAUCCACUAAAUUCCAUAUAUUUCUUCUAUAAUUUGUUUCUCACUGUUUUUAAGUCUACGAAACAAUCAGAAAGAAGAAAGAAAAAGGAAACAUAUGUUUCUCAAGUGGAGAUAAAUAUAUAAUUUAUUUAUAUGCAUGAAAAUGUGUUAUUAAUUUAAUCAUGAAAACCAAAUGAUGUUGGAGUUUGAAACAUAUGAUUGCGUAAUUGCUUCAUCGAGGCUUUUAUUAAUUUAUUUUUCUUUUUGAUUUUUUUUAAAAAAAAAGAAAGAAAAAUGAGUGAGAUCCAAUUGGUUGCUACCCCUUUUUAACAUUAGAACCAUGGCGGCAAAAAUUGAAUCUAUAUCAUUUGUCUUAUACGACGGUCGUUGAGAUCUUGAAUUAAAAGGUGCAGACUAUGUGAGCUUGGAAAUGACUAGACUUCACGUGGACUCAAAGAAAAACAUCCAUAUUAUCUUCUUAAUUCAGAGAAUUAGAUGAAUUACUCAUUAAAAAAACACAUAAAUUUUCGAAAUAUCCGAGGCCCUAUAUUUUUUUUAUGUGUUUAGCCUUUACUUUAAGCACAAUCCCACCAAGUUUUGGAAUCCUCUAUUUAUUCCCCUGGGAUUGUUUCGGACUAUUUGUUUUCGCGAUUAUUUCAAUUAAAUAUUAAAGGGACAAAGAGAACAUUCUAAUGCGAAAUAUGUUGACUCCAACUCCAAUAAGACAAUUAUACACUUCACGGGUUUCGAACUGAUGCCAUUGGGGGAGAAGAGAAGGACCUCAACCACUGAGGUAACACCAAUUGUACAACUUUUAAAAUGAGGUAGAGCUAUAUAAAACGCAACGUUAAGUCCCUUACAGGGAACAAAGCAAACACAAGGAUACAAACAACAAAACUAAGAUAGGGCAGAGCAGUACCCAUUAGUUUAUCUAACAUAGUUAGGCACUCUCUAAUGAGCAAACUGGACAGAGCCAGAGUAAAUUGCAAGAAUAACUAGUACUAACCAUAAUUCAUUGAAAAUAGGUUAGCUAUAAUAUUCUUGAAGAUCUGGUUACGUGGCUAGGAAAAGAGCAUUUUCAGCAGCGCAAUUCUGUAUUGUGUUUGAUGAAAUGCAUUUUCCUCAGCCCACAAGUAUAUGACAUCCCCAGCAGCAAUGCCUCUCUCCUUGACAAAAACUCUCCAUUGUUUUGACUGGAAAACUGGUUUUCUGUGCUUGCCUUGUCUGCAAGAUAAAUAGAAUACAUAGACCUUACCCAUUUCGUCUAAGACUCUGACUGGGACAUCAUGCUCUGGAUCUAUAGGCGGCAAGAAUUCAAGCAUCCCCUUCGUCACUGCUAGUCUUUGAUUGACAUCAGAGGGUGAUAACUCUUUUUCACAACGCUCCAUUUCUCUCCGGCCAAGUUUGAGCACCAAACUAAAACUGUCAAGCUCCUUACGGACGUAGCUAGCUGCUUAUGUUGAGAAACUUGAACAGAAAGACUGAGUUCAUGAUAAUAUUGGCAUGAGAUGCAUGUAUAUAUAUAAGUAAAAAAGAGAGAGAGAGAGAGAGAGAGAGAGAGAGAGACCGCUCAUCGUUUGUCGGGAGGGGGGACCCAACAGAUCCGUCGUUAUUUAUGAAUCCAACUGUACAUAUACGUGUACAAUAGAUAGUCCACAUGAUUUUGCAUAGGUGUUACCCAACAGACCAAAUCAGUAGUUAUUUAUUACAUAAUGCCUAAUUAGGGUUAAGGAGCUUCGGAAAAUAAUUUUGCUGCUUGCGGCAGGACUUUAAUACUGAUUCCGAGAGAUGAUAAAGAACUUCAAUAUGUGCAUAGUCAUAGAGAGAUGAUGGAGAAGUUCAAUCUGAAAACAAAAGUACUUUACAAACUAGAUCCCCUAGGAUCUUAAUACCAUACACAUCAAAAUAAAUUCUAGAAACUACGAUCAUAGGAAAGUAUUGAACCAUAUACAAGUAGAUCUGGGAAUAUAACACACGAUCCGUUAAUAUGAUACUAAUUUGUACGAAAUUAUUAGCAUUUGGGUUGAGCUUAAUGGGUCGGAUUGAAAACUAGUGAACCUAUUAAGUUAACAGGUCGUGUCGGGUCUAUUUGCGAAUAUUCACUAUCCACCCGUUAAGGAGGGUAAUUUUAUAAUUUUGUAUCACAAUUCAUAUUAAAAAAAACAAAACACUCACCUAACUCUUUUUUUUUAUUUUUUUUAUUCUUCUUCUCUCUCACCGAAUCUCUCUCUCUCUCUCUCUCUCUUCACUUUAUUUUUUUAUUCUUCUCUAUCUCUCGAAUCUCUCUCUCUCUCUUCAUAGUUAGGCAUUCUCUCAAUAUCUUUUUCCUCUUAGUUUUCUUCUUCUUUCCUGGCACGGUUUCUUCUUAUUCCUGUUUCCUAGGUUUUCAUCUUUUUUAUUUAUUUUAUUUCCGUCUCUCUUCUGUAUACAUUUCCUUCUCUCUCUUUUUAGAAUCCAUCUUUUAUUUAGAUGUAAAAGUUGAGAACCAGCGAAGAAGUAUCUUCACUGUCCGUCAAUGCGGGUUGGGUUUUGAGGGGUGGUUAUGGUGUUUAUGAGAUGGAUAUUUGGGGGAGAAGACAGAGAUUUUAUUUUAUUUUUAUUUGUUGGUUUAUUCUUAACGGGUACUGUCGAAUAUUCACGAAUUGUAACGGGUCGUGUUGUGUUAACCCGCAAAAUUAACGAGUUGAUACGAACACGAUCCGAAACUCGUUAAUAUGACCCAUUUGCCUAAUACAAGUUAUUAUAAUUAAUCAGCUAGCUUAUUAGCUUCUCUGUAAAUAUGAGCAAUUGUUACUUGAGAAAACUUGUCCAACAGCUGCCAAAUACUAUUUGUGAACUUUACGGUGAUAGCAGAAUUGAAGGUGUCAUUAUUGUACUCAUCCAACUUGAACUUCCCUUGCACUGUCGAAAAGAAAAAAAGACAUCUUGCUUUUAAUUGUUAUUCUUAUAGAAGGGUGAUUCAUUGAUAUAAAAAAUUUAAUAGUUUGUUAUCAAAUAUAGAAGUCGCAGUGCCUAGAAACGCACAAAAAUAUAAUAACAUCCCGUAAUGCUGGAGAAACGAAUAUACGAAUUAAAAGCCAAUUAAAGCGCUCUUAUUUAUUUUGUUGGUUGAUUUCCCAAAAAACAAAAAAGUUUUUUGUUUUUUGUUUUUUCUUCUUCUUGACAUCAGAACCCACAUUGUUGAACUGUAGAGUGUCGUAUCAACAGAAAGAGUCUGAGUUGAUAAUAUUGGCAUUAUAUGCUGAGAGAGAGAGAGAGAGAGAGAGAGAGAGAGAGAGUGAAAUCUUAUAUUAAUUUAAUGCGUAACAUUAAGUGGCCAUAAGCUAUCACAGGUGGCAAAGCUUCGGCUAAUCACAUUAAGUGGCCAUACGCUAUCACAAGAGGCAAAGCUUCGGCUAAUAAUUUAAUGAGUAACAUUAAGUGGCCAUACGCUAUCACAUCCCGAACUGUUUAAUAUUUGUGUGGUUGGUAAGUUGAAUAUCUUUGUCGCUAGCGCCGGCACCCGGACACCCUAGAAAUUAUUACUUUGUUUUGGUCAAGCGGAGACCCUGGAAGUAGUUUUGAAUGUUCCCAAUGCAAAGUCAGAGCGUGCUUGGGAAAGAACACGCUGGUACGUGUACGUCCUAACAUGUGGGCUAAAAUUUCACAUCAGAAAAAUUUAGCUCAUCCAUCUUCCCCCAAAAAUAUAAAUUUAGCUCAUCACCACAUUUAAAUUAAAGGACACUAUAUUUUCUUCUAUAAUUUGUUUAUUAUUAUUUUUAGACUUAUUUAUGAAUAUGUCCCAUAUACUUUUAAAGUAGGCUCAAAUUACAAUAUGUUCUUUAAAAUAUCUCAAUAUACCACUUACACUUUUAAUAAAUAUCUUACGUUAGCUAUUCCGUCAAAUUUGAGAAAAAUUUCGUUAACUGACGUAAAUUACCUAACAAAGAAGAACAUGGAUAUUGUCAUCGUCUUACUUGUCCCUAUAAUCAAUCUCAAGAACUGAUUGCAACACUUGAUUGAAUCUCAAAAUCAUUGAGAUCCUUAAAAUGAGCCUAAUAUCAAACAUCUUUUAAUUAGAACAUAUAUUAUUUACUAGUUAAUUAUGCGGAACAUAUAAUCAUGUAAUGAUUGGAAGCUUCUACACACAUGCAUGCAUGCAUGCUCACGUACGAAUUCGAAUUGAGGGAUAUUAUUACAGUGACCUAAGCACACUGGAACAUCAUAACCUAUAUUACCUAACUCUCAGACUGGCAUUGGUUAGAUUUUCUUAUAUAGUACUUAAAAUAACAAGUUUUAACAUAUUUUGUACAGUUGUCAUUAUUGUUAUGAACAUGUCUUAGUCUUUUAGGAGAUCAUCUGUAAAUACUACUGUAUCAAUCAUUUUAUAAAAUAAUUAAUUAAUUAAUUUUGAGAAAGUUAUCGGUUUUCGUAGAUGCGAUAAAAAUACCAUCUAAUAAAAUUUGCAAGUUUUGAAAAAUUAGUACUUUUCAAAUUGUUUUUGGACGAAACAUAAAGUUUAAAGUUUAUCUAGAGUUUAGACAAUAGGAUUGUAUAUUUAUGUGAUUGACCUUUUGUUAAAUAUGUAAAAUUUGAUUGUUAUCUUUCACAUUAUUAAACUAUAUAGUCACCUUAAACCAAACAAGUUUAGUAUGGACCAAACGUACUACAGUAGUGGUCCAGUGUUGGCACUCCAGGUUGCAGGUCGGGGGUUUGAAAUUUCAUGCAUCCAACUUUUGCUAAUAUUUGGUUUUUUUUUAAAACAUUGAUUCAGUUCAAGUGAACCGGGAGUUUAGAUACUUGCAAACAUGAAAUCGUAUUCAGCUGAUUGGUCCAGUUUGGUUUUCUAUCGAGACAUUUUAAAAAAUAAAAAUAGAAAUCCGGCUGAAAAAUACUUAUCAGAUUGGUUUAUCCGAUUUGGAUAGCUUUCUGGUUCAAUUUGUUAAAAUAUGAAUAUGGUUUGAAUACUUUACGUUAGAUUUUAUUCUUCUCCAUAAGGAGGUAUAUAUAAGAGUUUACAUGAGUGUUUUAUAAGGAAAUAGAUACAAUAAUCUAUUAGGAUAGUAUCUCCUAAUUAUACAAUAAUUUGUCAACUAUAUAGAAUAUGAAAGUAAAUCCCUUAAUUAAUCAAGGAAAUAAAUCUCUUUGAUUAAUUAGGAGACUCACGUCAACACUCCUCUUCAAGUUGGUGCAUAUACAUCACCAAUGCCCAACUUGGUAAGUGAGUCAUGAAAUACUCUACCACAAACAGCUUUUGUUAAAAUAUCUGCCAGUUGAUCUUCUGAUUUUACGAAUGGUAGGCGGAUUAUCUUCUUCUCAAUUUUUUCUUUGAUAAAAUGUCUAUCAACCUCAGGAUGUUUGGCUCGAUCAUGUUGAACUGGAUUAUGGGCAAUAUUAAUAGCUGACUUGUUGUCACAAUGCAACUCCACUGGUUUUUCUGGCUUGAAGCCCAAUUCUGUCAAGAGUCUUUUGAUCCACAAUAAUUCAUAAACUCCGUGAGCCAUUCCUCGAUACUAUGCUCUUGCACUAGACCGAGAAAUCACAUUUUGCUUUUUACUCCGCCAAGUGACUAGGUUACCUCCCACGAAUAUAAAGUAAUCAGAAGUAGAGCGUCUAUCUAUAAUGGAACCACCCCAAUCAACAUCUGUAUAUCCAACAAUGUCUAGAUCUUUAUCUUGAGAACAUUAAUCCUUUCCCAGGGGCUGACUUUAAAUAUCUUAAGAUCCGAUCAACUGCAUUUCUAUGAGAAAUACUGGGCGAAUGCAUAAACUGACUAACCACACUCAUAGCAUAUGCAAUAUCUGGUCUUGUGUGUGCCAUGUAUAUCAACAUUUGAACAAGGCGUUGGUACUAUUCCUUAUUGGUUGGUUCUUGGUCCAUGUUUUCACACAACUUGUUAUUCAUCUCAAUGGGUGUGUCAGCAAGCUUACAUCCAAGCAUUCCCGUUUCAGUGAGUAGAUCCAUUACAUACUUCCUUUGAGACAGAAAUAUAUUAGUUUUUGACAUUGCUACUUCGAUUCCGAAAAAGUACUUCAAAUCACCUAAAUACUUCAUCUUAAAUUCCUAAGACAAAUACUUUUGCAACUUCAGUUGCUCUUCUGCGUCGUUUCUAGUUACGAUUAUGUCAUCUACAUAAAAAAUCAAUGCAGUAAGUUUUCCUUCAUCAUGCUUCAAGAACAUGGUGUGAUCUAAAUUACUCUGUGUAUAUCCAAAAUCUUCAUAAAUUUAGUAAAUCUGUCAAACCAUGCCCUGUGAGAUUGCUUUAACCCAUUUAAUGACUUCUUGAGCAUGAAAACUUGAUUUUUCUUGUCAGGAGCUGAAUUACAUCCUGCGGAUAAGUCCAUAUAUACUUAUUCCCAUUUUUGACAUCAAACUGAUAUAGUGGCCAAUCGAGAUUUGCUGCUAAAGACAAUAGGACUCUAAUAAUGUUAAUCUUGGUUACUGGGGCAAAGGUCUCCUCGUAGUCUAUCACAUAUCUCUGUGUGUACCCAUUCGCCACCAAUCUAGCUUUAUAUCUUUCAAUGGAUCCAUCUGCUUUGAGUUUCACAGUAUAAAUCCACAUGCAUCCUUCUAUCUUCUUUCCAUGAGGUAAGGGCACGAGUUCCCAUGUGACAUUCUUUUGGAGAGCUCGCAUUUCUUCAUUCAUAGCUUCUUUCCAUUUUGGGUCUUCUAAUGCUUCAGUUACACUGUUAGGGACAAAUAUGGCAGCCAACUGCUUCACAUAGUGCACACAUGACUUUGAUAAUCUGCUGAGAGAUAUAUAAUUAUUGAUGAGGUAUUUCCCUUUGGCUUUAAGAUCUGCUUUAUAUUGUACUCGAGGUUUGCCACGGUUCUUCCUGUUCGAAAGCUUAUAUGUGGGCUCUGUGCCUUCUGAAUCAAAUCAUCAUGGGAUAUUUCAUUAGUGUUAUAAGUUUCAAGAGAAGAUGUUACCUGAAUGACUUCCUCAGCAGUUGUAGGCCACACGAGAAGCCAAGUCCGCAUCGAAGUCAAACAUUUAAGCCCAACACGUGAACAUCACGUAGUGGGUAAAGGAUAUGGGUAAACAUUCAAGCCCAACAUGUGAACACCACAUAUUGGGUAAGGGUAAAUGACCAAUUCAAGCCCAGUCAAUUAACAUGGCUCUGAUACCAUGUUAAAAUAUGAAUAUGGUUUGAAUACUUUAGGUUAGAUUUUAUUCUUCUCCAGAAUGAGAUAUAUAUAGGAGUUUACAUGAGUGCUUUAUAAGGAAAUAGAUACAGUAAUAUAUUAGGAUAGUAUCUCAUAAUUAUACAAUAAUUUGUCAACUAUAUAGAAUAGGAAAGUAAAACCCUUAAUUAAUCAAGGAAAUAAAUCUCCUUGAUUAAUUAGAAAACUCACGUCAACACAAUUGUGUAGCCCUAAUUUUAACAUAUUAUUUACAGUUUUUUUUUUUUUUGAGAGAGAGAGAGAGAGAGAGAGAGAGAGAGAGAGAGAGAGAGAGAAAACACAAGACUUCGGCUUUCCGGUUCAAUUCCCUAAAAAUACUCUUCAAUUGACAUCGAUAGAAGCAAAUAGGUAGGACCCAAGCCUGCCACGUGGUAAUUAAUUAACGUCGAAACCAAAUUUCAAAAAGAAAAAGAAAAAAAGGAACAUUAUUGUGAAAAUUGAAAGUGCGUGCAGACAAACAUGUCUUACGGGUGAGAGUUUAGUGCACUAAAUUGAAAUUAGGUUUCACCUCCAGAUUGGAUCGAUUUCACCUCAAAACAAUAGUCGAACCAAUUACAACAUAACCAUUUCGUUCGAUUCGGUUCGAUUUUGACAAAAAUCAUGGAGAAAACCGAACAAUACCAAACCAAUUUAAGACGAUUUAGUUAAGCCAAUUUGGGCCUAAGCCCAAUUCUUUUUCCUUUUGCAUUUUUACAAUAUUGUUAGCCCAAUUACAACCCCAAAAUCCACAACUUCCUACAUUUUUUUUUUCUUUUCAUUUUCUAGCAUAUCAAACCAUCCUAAAAUUUCAAAGUUCAAUAACUAAUAGAUCUACCACUCAUAUAUCAAUAACUUCAAAUUCAACAUUCAUAUCUAGUUAUUAUCCAAUGAGAAGACUACACGUAUAUAAUAAAAUAAAGGACAUGCUACAAUAAACCCCCAACCUAUAAGGUCAUUUACGAGUUCAUAUCCGAUUUUGGGGACAUUUACUAGUACAUACUCAACGUCAUAGAAACCCUACAAUUUGCCUCAUUUGUUAGCGAAACUAUUAGUAAAUUUGUUAAAUGUUGGCGUGUCAAAAGUGAGAUCCUUUUUUUUUUUUUUUCUAAUGACGUGGACUUCCAUGUGGACAAAAAACUAAUAAAAAAUUAUGUACAUGUUAAAAAUAAUUUUUGAAUCAUAUUAAAAUUAUUAUAAAAUGAAUAAAAUAAAUAAAUACAUUCUCAUCUCUCUUCUCCAACCCAGCCAGCCACGAAUCCCAUCGCAUCCUGACAAACCACGAAUCCCAUCCGUCUUCACCUGCUCUGACUUAAUUGCCACCAAAUGGCUCAAGCAAGCGCUUAAGUCCUCCCCACCAAAACCACUGUUCUCGUCGGUGUCUCGGCUGAGAUGGACUACCCUUGGGGGUACAGGCGUAAUGAGGACGUGCCAUACAACAUCUCUGCCUCAACAUCGGCUCCCACUCCCUCAUCUACGGCUUCCCUUAAGACCGUGACAAGGGUUAGGGUCCGGGGGGUUCAAAGAGGAAAUUGGCGUUGGAGUUGGGGUCAGGCCACGAGGGCAGUGCGAAGGCAGAUAUGGUCGCCAUUGGAAGAGGGUCUGGAAGGAAUUUUUGAGGGUUGAUUUGAUGUUAGGAGCACGAAAUUGGAGAAAUGAGAGGAAAUUUUGGUGAAUUUAAGGAGAAGAAAGUGAAUAGUGUCCUUUUAUUUUUUUGGGUUGAAGGACAAUAGUGUCCUUGAGGUGCUAGGCUUCGUGUGAAAUUCAAAAUUGUGAAGCUUCAUCACCGGAUCCAGAUCCGGAACGCUGUCGACGUCAACAAUCUAGCGGUCAAGUCGCUGAAGAGAGACGACCUGGAUCUCGGCCAGUUCAGAGGGGCGAAGGCCUAUAACGAUGGGGAGGGAGAGAGGCUUGGCUAGGUUGGAGAAAAGAGAUAAUAGUUUCUUUUUUCUUUUUUUCUUUUUUAAUGAUUUUAAUAUGAUUUAAAAUUUAUUUUUAACAUGUACAUUAUUUUUUAUUUUAUUUUUGUCCACAUGGAAGUCCACAUGAUCAAAAAAAAGAAGGGGUCCCACUUUUGACACAUCAGCAUUUAACAGACUCGCUGACAGUUUAGCUAACGGAAUGGGCAAAUUAUAGGGUUUCAGCAACGUUGAGCACGUACUGAUAAAUGUCCCAAAAAUCGGGUAUGAACUUGUGAAUGACCCUAUAGGUUGGGGGGUUUACUGUAGUUUGUCCUAAAAUAAAAAUACAUAAAAAUAUAAAUAGACGGUCUGGUUCAAUUU